UACGUAGGGGGCAAGCGUUGUCCGGAAUCAUUGGGCGUAAAGCGCGUGUAGGCGGCUUGGUAAGUCUGCUCUGAAAGCCCGGGGCUCAACCCCGGGAGGCGGGUGGAUACUGCCGAGCUCGAGUCCGGAAGAGGCGAGUGGAAUUCCUGGUGUAGCGGUGAAAUGCGCAGAUAUCAGGAGGAACACCGAUGGCGAAGGCAGCUCGCUGGGACGGUACUGACGCUGAGACGCGAAAGCGUGGGGAGCGAACAGG
This 253-nucleotide ribosomal RNA is filed under the name uncultured bacterium. RNAcentral describes it as "partial 16S ribosomal RNA". It matches the Rfam family "Bacterial small subunit ribosomal RNA", at positions 524 to 776 of the family's 1533-position model. The record is from RNAcentral.